This is a non-coding RNA of Delphinapterus leucas (beluga whale), 2553 nucleotides long. NCBI's taxonomy places the organism in Eukaryota, Metazoa, Chordata, Mammalia, Artiodactyla, Monodontidae. The record is from RefSeq and is a predicted model, not a curated record.
CCCUCCAGUCUUGGAGGAGUCUGACUAAUCGCUGGAGUGAAACUGGGGAGUGGCCGCGGCCGGCGGAGCUCCUGAAAGGAAGACAGGGCAGCCCGGCCGGCACCCCCCACCCCGAGGCGGGGCGGCUGUGGCCCUGCCCAAGGGUGGGCAGGACACGGAAGAAUAAGGGAACUGGCAGCCCUGUUCCGCAGGGUUCACCCAGCCCAGAUCUAGAAGCUGCCCCGUAUCCAGCAACAGACAGCAGGGACCCAGCCCAGGCCCAGAGGUGGAAACCUACUCCCCAGAAAAAUGUGUCUCGGCAAUUCUUCACGUGAAGAAAGGUAAAACGUUAGGCACUGUGAAAACCCCUGAGACGGCAGGACCUAGAGACGCUCCAGGCAGCCGGCCCUGCGGCCCCACCACACGGAGCCAGGAAGGAUGUGAACCUCAGGGUUUCCACGUGUGGCUCAGAUCGUCCAGCUGACACUGUUUUCUCUUGACCGCCGCUCAGCAAGUGGGGAACCUGGGAGUGCCUGCCCGGGCUCACCCUGCCCCGCCGCACCCCAUCCUACAGGACACACACCUGCACCCGCCGAACCACCUGGCCCUUCUGGUUACGGACAGACUUUAAUCGCAGUGACCGCAGGCCCCUGUGGGGUAUCCCCAUGGCUCGGCCUUACCACACACACCCUGAACGACGCAGCCUCACUGUGGGAAGUCGGGAAGGGAGAUUCUCCGCGGCUUGUAUUUGGAACAUACAUUUAAGAGCCUUUUUAUCAACCAAAGGGAAGACAGGAAUGGCGGGCUGUAGCAGGCGUGGUUUCUGAGCGCUGUGACCCUAAUGCUGUGUCAAAUCCCAGCGGGACAAAGGAGGGCCUCGGGGACGCCCGCUUGGCCACCCACCCACCUUGCGGGCAAGCUCCUUGCGGGCACGCUCCUCAGCCCGCUCGGCCUCCGUGGGCGGCCCCCGCAUCGUGCCGUGCUCCAGUGUCAGGUGGCCCAGCUCGCUAUCCAGUUUCAUGCUCUGCGUGAAUCUCUGGGGGGUCGGGAGGGAAUGCGCAUCAGCCACAAGCAGCCACUCGAGGAAGCGCGGCCCCUGCGUGGCUGGGACGGUCUGCAGGACCGGCUCCCGCCGCCCAGAGCCCCGAGGGCGAACCUGCAUGCAGUUGGUGAACAUGACGCACACGGACAUGAGCUUGGAGAAGACACGCAGCAGUUCGGGGUUGGUCAGCAUGCAGUCCUUCAGGCAGCUGUCCAGGAAGCUGGUGUGGUGUCCCAGCACGUCAUCGAUGUUGGAGGCCUGGGCGGGAGACACUGUCAGAGCCGCUCUGCUGAGACGACCGCACCGAGGCCCUGACUGGGCUGCUUUGUACGCUCUGUGUUGUUUCCAUGUUUUAAACAAUCCUGUGGUCUUUUGGGGGAAAACUUCAAAAUAUCGCUAAAAGGACACACUGAAUGUGCCCCAAAAGGUCCAAGGUUUUCGUUUUUAAAGACAGAAAACAAGGAGGAAACACUGCCCCCUUGCACUUUCCGCUCCUGGAGUUUGGUGACAUGAACUUUUUGGCUGACGGCCCCCAGGGGCCCUGGGAUGGGCCUGGAUGGGGCGCUGACCCAGAGCCGAGGCUCCGAGGGAACUGCACACUCUUCUGGCAGCCUGAGCCUGGGCCACGCCGUCCUGCGUGCCCUGCCCUCCACCGCUAACACAGCUCUGGUGGCGUCGGGGGAGCCAUCGGGGGAGCUGUCGGGUCCGUGCCCCACCUCCGCCUCCCUGACCUCUGACCAGGCGUCGUGACCAGCUGGGCUAAACUCACAGAUCUCAGGCUCUUCUCCAGGACGUGCCAGGUCGGCUCCAGCACCUCAAACAUCAUGUAGUACUGGAUGUUCUGGACGAAGUUGAGCAUCCGCUGCCGCAGGGUGAAAGCGCCCGCGAACCUGCGCCAGGCGAAGGCGUCAGAUACACAGGGCGCCCGCGGGCCCCCAGCACUCGCGAAGUGCAGAGCACCCCUGGGCCUGCAGGCGCUCCCAACCCUGGAGGAGCCGGAGGUCCACGAAGGGCUCUGGCUCAGACACGCCCCACCAUCCCACAGUCUAACGGUAGCAUGGAACAUCAGAGACGUGGAGGCUGCACAGGCCAGCUCCUGGGUCUCCGUUUUCGGGGUGUGGAGAGGAACCACCCUGCUCCACGGGAGCCCCGGAGGACGUACCACUUGGCCGAGUGCAGGGAGUACUGCUUGGCAGUCUUGUUGCUGAUCCAAACGUUGCAGAGCUGCCGUUCCACGUGCUUGCAGUAGAACAUGUGUCUGAAGAGCAUCUGAUAGCGGGUCAGGGCUUUCCUGCGAAGAAGGAACAAAGCGGAUUCCGACGGACGCCUGGGGGUUGUGGCCGGCACCAGACGUCAAAGGCGAGGCUCACGGGGCGGAGCGUGACCUGAGCAGCCAGUAACCCCCAGGGGCCUAAGCAGGCGCGAGAGCCUGAUGCUUACCUGUUAAUGAUCAGAGACAGGGGCCACUUCACCACGUAGUCGAAGGAGAAGGCCUCCAGGCCGCUCAGCGUGAGUUCGGUGGGGUCAGCGUG